CUUAGAGAAAAUUUGUUAAAAAACAAACCAGGUACCCGAAGAGUUUAUCCAAAGAACAAUACAACAAAAGAGUUAAUCAAAAGACAAUAUUUAAAAGAACAAUUUAGAGAACUAAUUACUAUUUGAUUUCAAGUCUUAUUAUGUUAUAUGAACUAAGACAGUGUGUUGUUGGCAUCAAGAUAGACACAUCAGUCUAGAAAAUAGAAUAGACCCACACAUAUACAGACAACCAAUUUUCAACAAGGAUAUAAAGGCAAUUCAGUAGAGAAAAUAAAAGUCUUUUCAAUAAAUGGCAUCAGAACAAUUGAAUAUCCAUAUAAAAAAAAAAAAGAAUUUCAUUCCAUGCCUUGCACUAUUUAUAAAAUUUAACUCAAGGGACGCCUGGGUGGCUCAGUGGUUGAGCGUCUGCCUUCGCCUCAGGACCUGAUCCUAGAGUCCCAGGAUCGAGUCCCACAUCAGGCUCCCUGCAUGGAGCCUGGUUCUCCCUCUGCCUAUGUCUCUGCCUCUCUCUCUCUCUCUCUCUGUGUGUCUCUCGUGAGUAAAUUAAAAAAAUCUUUAAAAAAAUAAAACUUAACUCAAAAUGGAUUAUAGACCUCAAUGUAAAACACGAAAUUACAAAAAUUCCAAGAGAAAUAGGGAGAAAAAUCUUUGUGCUGUUGGAUUAGGCAAAAUGUCUUAGAUAAAACCAAAACAAGAUCCAUGAUUUGACUUCAUCAAAAUUUAAAAAUUCUCCUCUUCAAAAGAUAUGGUUAAGAGACUGAAAAGACAUAGUUUGGGAGAAAAUAUCAAAUAUAUGAUCGUAUCAAAUAUAUCAAAUAUAUGAUCAUAUCAAAUCUAGAUACAGGACUUGUAUCCAUAAUAUGUGAAAAAUCAAACUAUAGUAAUUCAUAAUAAGAAAGCAAACACUUCAGUUUUUAAAUGAACAAGAUAUUUGAACAGAUGCUUUACCUAAGAAGAUAUAAGAAUGUUAAAUACACAUGUAAAAAGAUGCUUAACACCAUUAGUCAUGAGGGAAACAAAUAUUAGGGAAACAAAUAUUAAAAUGAUGAUGGAACACACCACAUUGCUAUUAGAAUGGCUGAAAAUUAAAGACUUGAUUAUACUACAUUGGUAAGGAUAUAAAGGAACUAGAAUUCUCAUAUAUUGCUGCUGGAAUUGUGAGAUGGCCCAACCACUUUGACCGCUCCUUAAAAAGUUAAACCCUUAAAGAGAUACCUACCAUAUGCCUAGAAAUUUCAUUCCUAGGUAUUUACUUGAAAGAAUUAAAAGCUUAUGUCCAUGUAAAGUCCUGUACAUGAAAUGUUCAUAGCAGCUUUAUAUAGCAGCCCCAAAUUGCAAACAAUCUAAUUGCCCAUCAACAGGUGAUGACUAAAUUGUGAUAUACCAUACAAUGAAAUACUACUAGGUAGUAAAAAUAAAUGAACUGUUGAUAUACAUAACAACAUGAAUAAAUGUCAAAUUAUGCUGAGUGAAAGAAGCCAAACAAAAAAGAAUACCUGUUGUGUGAUUCCAUCUGCAUAAAAUUCUAAAAUGCGCAAGGCUAAAAUAUAAUGACAGACAGCAGAUCAGUUGGGAGGGAUUACCAAGAGACACAGAAAACCUCUUAAAGGUGAUUGAAACGUCUCUUAUCUUGAUUGUGGCGAUGGUUUCACUAGCGUAUAUAAGCGUUAAAACUUAUCAAAAUUAUACACCUUAAAUAUGUACAGUUUAUUAUGUGACAAUUAUUCCUUUAUAAAUGUGCAUUUUAAAACUUGCAAAACUAUUACAACAUUAAAUGAGUGAAAUUGCAAUCUACAAAGCAGGAAAGAAAUUUGCACCAGAUAGAACUGGCAAAGGUCUCAGGUCCCGAAUGUAUAAACAACACCUACAAAUGAAUAAGAAAAACACAGAAAAGCUCAACUAAAAUGGGCAAAAUAUUUUUUUUUGAGGGGGGGCCAAAAUAUUUGAACAGACAUAUUACAAAAGAGGCUAUCCAAAUGGCCAACCAAAAGCAGCUAACCUCAUCAGUCAUCUGGAAAUGCAAAUUAAAACCACGUUGAGAUAUUAUACCCCAGAAAUAGAAAAAAGACCAAUUAAACAGUGUUGAUGAAGAUGUAAAACAACUAGAACUUUCACGCACUGCUAGUGGGAGUGUAAAUUAGUACAGUCACUUUAGAAAUCUAUUUGGCGUUAUCUCCUAAAAUUUAUCAUAGGCUACUUCAUAACCUGGAAAUUCUACUCCUAGGUUUAUGCACAAGAGAAUGCAUACAUAUGAACUCUGGAACAAAUGUAGAAGAAUGCUCUUCUCUCUAUUAUUUUUAUUGGCUCCAAACUGGAAAUUAACAAGUGAUUGUCAAGUAGAGAGUAGAUAAAUUGUGUUGUAUUCAUACAAUAGAAUCCAUACUGCAAAAAAAAAAAAAAAAAAAAA
This 2407-nucleotide long non-coding RNA is filed under the name Canis lupus familiaris (dog). RNAcentral's name for it is "lncRNA (ENSCAFG00845011248.1)". Lineage: Eukaryota; Metazoa; Chordata; Mammalia; Carnivora; Canidae. The record is from RNAcentral.